CUCUUCUCUCCAAAGCACCCUGCUGAAACCGCGCGAGCCGACCCAAUCGGGUUCGGCUCCUGUGGCCGUGUAAGCAUGGGUACACCAGGGAAGGAGACUAAAGUUCACGGGGUCGCACACGAGGCUGGGAGCGACCUCUUUCUCAAUGUCUGCUCUCCUCAGUCUCAAGAUCCUGUGUUACACAU
Molecule: small nucleolar RNA, 185 nt
Organism: Gambusia affinis (western mosquitofish)
Lineage: Eukaryota; Metazoa; Chordata; Actinopteri; Cyprinodontiformes; Poeciliidae
Source: Ensembl